UGGGGAAUCUUGCACAAUGGGCGGAAGCCUGAUGCAGCGACGCCGCGUGGGGGAUGACGGCCUUCGGGUUGUAAACUCCUUUCGCCAGGGACGAAGCCGUGAGGUGACGGUACCUGGAUAAGAAGCACCGGCUAACUACGUUCCAGCAGCCGCGGUAAUACGUAGGGUGCGAGCGUUGUCCGGAAUUACUGGGCGUAAAGAGCUCGUAGGUGGUUUGUCGCGUCGUCUGUGAAAUUCCGGGGCUUAACUCCGGGCGUGCAGGCGAUACGGGCAUAACUUGAGUGCUGUAGGGGAGACUGGAAUUCCUGGUGUAGCGGUGAAAUGCGCAGAUAUCAGGAGGAACACCGAUGGCGAAGGCAGGUCUCUGGGCAGUAACUGACGCUGAGGAGCGAAAGCAUGGGUAGCGAACAGG
This 412-nucleotide ribosomal RNA is filed under the name Bacillota bacterium. Its description in RNAcentral is "Firmicutes bacterium partial 16S ribosomal RNA". It matches the Rfam family "Bacterial small subunit ribosomal RNA", at positions 355 to 776 of the family's 1533-position model. Lineage: Bacteria; Bacillati; Bacillota. The record is from RNAcentral.